RNAcentral lists this non-coding RNA (204 nucleotides) under Clostridia bacterium. RNAcentral's name for it is "6S RNA". It matches the Rfam family "6S / SsrS RNA". Rfam says of the family: E. coli 6S RNA was the first non coding RNA to be sequenced, but its function was unknown until recently. It consists of 184 nucleotides that fold into an extended hairpin structure with a large single-stranded internal bulge. Lineage: Bacteria; Bacillati; Bacillota; Clostridia. The record is from RNAcentral.
AAAUUCCUGCCCAAUUCGCGGACUGCGCACAUAUAACCCUACACUCAAACUUAAGGGAGCCAGCACUCCGGGUACGGACUGCAGACCUCCCGCCCGGCUUCGUGCCGAAGCGGAGGAAGGGAGCGAGAACUACCAGGGAUGGCACCCACCUGACUACUCAGUAGCAGGUUAUUGAGAUGCGUAAUACGGUUGGGCGGGUUUUUU